UAUAAUGGGUCAGCGACUUAUAUUCUGUAGCAAGGUUAACCGUAUAGGGGAGCCGCAGGGAAACCGAGUCUUAACUGGGCGUUAAGUUGCAGGGUAUAGACCCGAAACCCGGUGAUCUAGCCAUGGGCAGGUUGAAGGUUGGGUAACACUAACUGGAGGACCGAACCGACUAAUGUUGAAAAAUUAGCGGAUGACUUGUGGCUGGGGGUGAAAGGCCAAUCAAACCGGGAGAUAGCUGGUUCUCCCCGAAAGCUAUUUAGGUAGCGCCUCGUGAAUUCAUCUUCGGGGGUAGAGCACUGUUUCGGCUAGGGGGUCAUCCCGACUUACCAACCCGAUGCAAACUACGAAUACCGAAGAAUGUUAUCACGGGAGACACACGGCGGGUGCUAACGUCCGUCGUGAAGAGGGAAACAACCCAGACCGCCAGCUAAGGUCCCAAAGUCAUGGUUAAGUGGGAAACGAUGUGGGAAGGCACAGACAGCCAGGAUGUUGGCUUAGAAGCAGCCAUCAUUUAAAGAAAGCGUAAUAGCUCACUGGUCGAGUCGGCCUGCGCGGAAGAUGUAACGGGGCUAAACCAUGCAC
RNAcentral lists this ribosomal RNA (582 nucleotides) under Klebsiella variicola. RNAcentral's name for it is "partial 23S ribosomal RNA". It matches the Rfam family "Bacterial large subunit ribosomal RNA", at positions 611 to 1194 of the family's 2925-position model. The record is from RNAcentral. Lineage: Bacteria; Pseudomonadati; Pseudomonadota; Gammaproteobacteria; Enterobacterales; Enterobacteriaceae. RNAcentral also lists the same sequence under 1 other name.